RNAcentral lists this long non-coding RNA (585 nucleotides) under Homo sapiens (human). Its description in RNAcentral is "non-protein coding LINC02197:2". Lineage: Eukaryota; Metazoa; Chordata; Mammalia; Primates; Hominidae. The record is from RNAcentral.
GUGCUGAGAAGGUGAUCAGUGGCAGAAAGAGCGGAUGACGGAUGGGGACCAGCAGACAGUGAGGAGCUCAACAUAACAGGGAAAAGGAGCACAGGAUGCAGCUACUUAGAGGGUGUUGAUUGAAAACUUCGAUCUCCCCACCCCAUCACGGUUGAUUUGACGGAUUUCUCACCUCGUUCACAGAGAAAAUUUCAAUUAAGGUCUUUGAUUACUUGAGAAAAGUGAGUGAGGUGGGGCCAAGAUGGUUGACUAGAAGCAGCUAGUGUGUGCCACUCUCACAAAUAGCAGGAAGAGUGGUGAGACACUAGCUCUUCAACCGGAACAUCCAGGUGGACACAUAAGGAUUCAUCAGUGACAUAGUGUGACCUUCGGAUCACGGAGAAGAGUGAGACAGAUCAACCAUUCACCCAGGAGUGGCACAGACCCAGGGGAAUCCCCCUACAAGAAAAUGGUGAGUGAGUGAGAGUCCCGUGGGAUGCAUAUUUCUGCCACGAACCUUUGAAUCCCUGGGCUCAGGAGAUACCCCAGCUGGGGUCUCCAGACCAAAACAGAGAGCCAUGUGGAGUCUGGGUAGAGCUGCUUCUU